ACACUUUGCGCCGUUCUCUGAUA
RNAcentral lists this non-coding RNA (23 nucleotides) under Arabidopsis thaliana (thale cress). Lineage: Eukaryota; Viridiplantae; Streptophyta; Magnoliopsida; Brassicales; Brassicaceae. The record is from RNAcentral.